Molecule: long non-coding RNA, 2294 nt
Organism: Herpailurus yagouaroundi (jaguarundi)
Lineage: Eukaryota; Metazoa; Chordata; Mammalia; Carnivora; Felidae
Exons: 3
Source: RefSeq, a predicted model, not a curated record
UUACCUUUUCUGUCUGCACAGGGAUACCGUGUUCCUGAAACUUAAGUGUUUCACACUUUAAAAUAUACAUUGUGCUGCUUAUAAUUAUGCUUCUGAAGGGGCACACUUACAGCGAUUUAUGAAAUUUCUAAUUUAGAAAUGGGCUAUGAGUCACUAGUGCAUGGAGAAAUUAGCAAAAUCAGAUACUGAUCAGUGUACAUAUAUACUCAGCAUAAAUAAUUAGAUUAUUUUUAGAAUCAAUUUUUUAAAAGCUCUGUGCUAAGCUCUUUUAAAGGCACUCCAGAAGAUUCCAGCAGUAUCCACCAAUGUCUACCAUGGCUCUUGUCCAUUGCAUGAUCACCACUGGGGGAGGUGGACUCUCUUACAAUGGCAAAUACUGUAUGUGAGGGGCCGACGCAGAUGUCAUGAUGAUGCUGAUGGGUGAAAAUCCACAGUUCUGUCACUUACUAGUACUGGGCCGAGGACAACUUCUCUGAGCUUCUGUUCCCUCAUCCAGGGCAUGCAGCUCUGAAUGGGACCUUUUGUAACUGGAAAUUCCACAGUUCCAGCUGCCCCUGACUCUCGUCCAUGCCAGACGACAUCCCCAGAGACUUUGAAGUUGCAUGUUUGAAUGAAGCACAGCCCCACCCCACCUCUCACCCUAUGUGCCUGCCCACAGUAUCAGUCAGACUCUGGGAGAGCAGUGGGACCAGCUUCUGGCUACCAACAGGAAUCCAGCACAGUGUUGUGCCUAUGCAAGGAUAGAUGAAUGAGUGGAGCUCUGAGAGAUGAGGCCCCUGGUGGAAGGGCGCUUGAGGACAUCAGGCCACUUUCCUUGCAUCUAUGAAGUCAUACCAUGUUGGCUGACACCUCAUAAGCCUGGACACAAUGCAAGUAUCCCAAUAUGUUAAACUUAUUUGUCCAUUUACAAUUUCAUUCGAUGUUUACUGAGCACCAACUUUCUGUUAGGUCAUGCUGGGGAAGAUAGCAGAAUGGAAAAAUGUAGUCUCUGUCUCAACAAUCCAGGUGGGAGAAGACUUGAGUUUCAUGCAGAAAGCAAGAUAGCAAGGAAUGGACACUUAUCUCAUCUUGAGAGAUAUCUAUGAGAAGACUUCCUGAGUGGGAUGGCUUUGAGUUGUUACAAGGAUGUAGUAAGAAAUAAAAAUCCGUAAAGGCAUUAAGCAACAACCACAGCAACACUGUUUUUUUCUAUAUUCACACCAACAUUUCUGACAUCAGAUGUGUGGGUUUUUCCACACCAAGCAAUUCUCUAGUUCUCGGCAGUCACCAGUUGAGUGUCCUACAAUUUAAAUUCCUACACUAACUGGACAGACCACACAGGUUAAGAGCUUAGUCCACAAGACUGUCCCCCACUUCAUAAACCAGUUGCAAGGCCUGGGUUGUCACCUGUACUUCUAACUGACUGGCCAUAAACGGGGGUUCCCACAACUCCUCCUUGGAUUGGUACAUUUGCUAGAACAGGUCACAGAACUUGGGAAAACAGUUUACUUACUAGUGUACCAGUUUAUUAUAAAAGGAUACAACUCAGGAAUAGCAAGAAGGAAGAGAAGCAAGCAUAGGGCAAGGUGGGAAGGGGUUCAUGGAGCUUCCAUGCCCUCUCUGGGUUCACCACCCUCCCAACACCUCAAUGUGUUCACUAACCAGGAAACUCUCUCUACCCUGUUGUUUGGGGCUUUUGUGGGGGAUUCAUUACAUAGGCAUGGUUGCUUAAAUCAUUGGCCACCGGUAAUUGAAAAUCUCCAGCCCCUCUCCCCUUCCUGAGGAGGUUGAGGAAGGGACUGAAAGUUACAACCCUGUAAUCACAUGGCUGGUUCUCCUGGAAGCAUCCCUCCAUCUUUUGGAGCUUUCCACAAGUCACCCCAUUAGUAUAAACUCACGUAUGGUUGAAAGGGAUAUAUUAUGAAAAAUAAAGGAUGUUCCUUUCUCCUCUAUCACUCAGGAAACUCCAAGAGUUUGGCAGUUCUGUGCCAGGAAUUGGGAACAAAGAUCAAGUAUACACUUCUUAUUAUAUUACAGUAUCACAGCUUUCCAUGCAGAGGGGGCAGAGCAAUUAAAGCAGAGCAGGUGUGAAAAAAAAAUGUGAGGUGUGGCUAUAAUAACGAAUUUCUGUGAGAGGGUGGGAAUGAGCUUGAACAAUCAGUAGCAGCCUUGCUGUGUUAAUGAGUUUGAAACUAUAUUAUUCUCUUGUGGGGGCAUGGAUAGUAAUUAUACUUUACACACAUAGAAUGAUUCUGUGAGCAGUAAGCACUCUGCUUUAUGUGAAUGAUCUCAUUAAAUAUUUGCUACCACUCUGA